RNAcentral lists this unclassified non-coding RNA (265 nucleotides) under uncultured fungus. RNAcentral describes it as "partial contains small subunit ribosomal RNA, internal transcribed spacer 1, and 5.8S ribosomal RNA". The stretch from base 1 to 73 matches the Rfam family "Eukaryotic small subunit ribosomal RNA", at positions 1759 to 1831 of the family's 1831-position model. The record is from RNAcentral. Lineage: Eukaryota; Fungi.
GCAAACUUGGUCAUUUAGAGGAAGUAAAAGUUGUAACAAGGUUUCCGUAGGUGAACCUGCGGAAGGAUCAUUAACAAAUCCAUAUUUUAUGCCGCAAGGCGUAGAUAUAAAUUCGCUUGGCUGGCGCAAGCUGCCAAGUUGAAAGAUUGUAUAUAUUAUUAUAUAUAAAUGUAUGUGUAGUGUAGACAAGUGUGUGUAAAAACAAAAAUAAUUGACAACUUUUAACAAUGGAUCUCUAGGCUCUUGCAUCGAUGAAGAACGCAGC